UGCAUUUCUGAAAACAACUAGGGAUACU
This 28-nucleotide non-coding RNA is filed under the name Rattus norvegicus (Norway rat). Lineage: Eukaryota; Metazoa; Chordata; Mammalia; Rodentia; Muridae. The record is from RNAcentral.